AAAACUCAAAGGAAUUGACGGGGACCCGCACAAGCGGCGGAGCAUGCGGAUUAAUUCCGAUGCAACGCGAAGAACCUUACCAAGGCUUGACAUAUACGAGAACGGGCCAGAAAUGGUCAACUCUUUGGACACUCGUAAACAGGUGGUGCAUGGUUGUCGUCAGCUCGUGUCGUGAGAUGUUGGGUUAAGUCCCGCAACGAGCGCAACCCUCGUUCUAUGUUGCCAGCACGUAAUGGUGGGAACUCAUGGGAUACUGCCGGGGUCAACUCGGAGGAAGGUGGGGAUGACGUCAAAUCAUCAUGCCCCUUAUGUCUUGGGCUUCACGCAUGCUACAAUGGCCGGUACAAAGGGCUGCAAUACCGUGAGGUGGAGCGAAUCCCAAAAAGCCGGUCCCAGUUCGGAUUGAGGUCUGCAACUCGACCUCAUGAAGUCGGAGUCGCUAGUAAUCGCAGAUCAGCAACGCUGCGGUGAAUACGUUCCCGGGUCUUGUACACACCGCCCGUCAAGUCAUGAAAGUCGGUAACACCUGAAGCCGGUGGCCUAACCCUUGUGGA
This 554-nucleotide ribosomal RNA is filed under the name Microbacterium paraoxydans. Its description in RNAcentral is "bacterial SSU rRNA". It matches the Rfam family "Bacterial small subunit ribosomal RNA", at positions 896 to 1447 of the family's 1533-position model. Lineage: Bacteria; Bacillati; Actinomycetota; Actinomycetes; Micrococcales; Microbacteriaceae. The record is from RNAcentral.